UACGAAGGGGGCUAGCGUUGCUCGGAAUCACUGGGCGUAAAGGGUGCGUAGGCGGGUCUUUUAAGUCAGGGGUGAAAUCCUGGAGCUCAACUCCAGAACUGCCUUUGAUACUGAAGAUCUUGAGUCCGGGAGAGGUGAGUGGAACUGCGAGUGUAGAGGUGAAAUUCGUAGAUAUUCGCAAGAACACCAGUGGCGAAGGCGGCUCACUGGCCCGGUACUGACGCUGAGGCACGAAAAGCGUGGGGAGCAAACAGGG
This 256-nucleotide ribosomal RNA is filed under the name uncultured bacterium. Its description in RNAcentral is "partial 16S ribosomal RNA". It matches the Rfam family "Bacterial small subunit ribosomal RNA", at positions 524 to 777 of the family's 1533-position model. The record is from RNAcentral.